GAGGAAAGUCCGGGCUCUAUUUAUGAAAAUAUAGUUGUAUAAUAUACAAUAUAGGAAACUAUGAGGAUCGUACCACAGAAAUAUACCGCCUUUUUGGUAAGGGUGCAAUGGUUCGGUAAGAGCGGACCAGAAAUGCUAUUAAGGCAUUUGCUAGGUAAACCCCGUAUUAGAGCAAAGUAAAUUAGUAUGUUGUAUUGCCUCUAUAAGUAUUUACUCUAUUUUUAAUUUGUCAUACUAAUUAAUAUAUAUACUGCAUAAAGUGAAAUUCUUACUUAAGAUUAAUAAUUACCCUUUUCAUAUAAUAAAAGUGUUUAUUAUUGAAAAGAACAAAACCCGGCUUAU
This 342-nucleotide RNase P RNA is filed under the name Thaumatella adunca. RNAcentral's name for it is "rnpB". It matches the Rfam family "Bacterial RNase P class A", at positions 43 to 352 of the family's 367-position model. Rfam says of the family: Ribonuclease P (RNase P) is a ubiquitous endoribonuclease, found in archaea, bacteria and eukarya as well as chloroplasts and mitochondria. Its best characterised activity is the generation of mature 5'-ends of tRNAs by cleaving the 5'-leader elements of precursor-tRNAs. Cellular RNase Ps are ribonucleoproteins. The record is from RNAcentral. Lineage: Eukaryota; Rhodophyta; Florideophyceae; Ceramiales; Rhodomelaceae.